CGUAGGGUGCAAGCGUUAAUCGGAAUUACUGGGCGUAAAGCGUGCGCAGGCGGUUUUGUAAGACUGUCGUGAAAUCCCCGGGCUCAACCUGGGAAUGGCGAUGGUGACUGCAAGGCUAGAGUUUGGCAGAGGGGGUAGAAUUCCACGUGUAGCAGUGAAAUGCGUAGAUAUGUGGAGGAACACCGAUGGCGAAGGCAGCCCCCUGGGUCAAAACUGACGCUCAUGCACGAAAGCGUGGGGAGCAAACAGGAUUAGAUACCCUGGUAGUCCACGCCCUAAACGAUGUCUACUAGUUGUCGGGUUUUAAUUAACUUGGUAACGCAGCUAACGCGUGAAGUAGACCGCCUGGGGAGUACGGUCGCAAGAUUA
Molecule: ribosomal RNA, 369 nt
Filed under: uncultured organism
Description: bacterial SSU rRNA
Rfam family: Bacterial small subunit ribosomal RNA
Source: RNAcentral